UACAGAGGUCUCAAGCGUUGUUCGGAAUCACUGGGCGUAAAGCGUGCGUAGGCUGUUUCGUAAGUCGUGUGUGAAAGGCGCGGGCUCAACCCGCGGACGGCACAUGAUACUGCGAGACUAGAGUAACGGAGGGGGAACCGGAAUUCUCGGUGUAGCAGUGAAAUGCGUAGAUAUCGAGAGGAACACUCGUGGCGAAGGCGGGUUCCUGGACAUUAACUGACGCUGAGGCACGAAGGCCAGGGGAGCGAAAGGG
Molecule: ribosomal RNA, 253 nt
Filed under: uncultured bacterium
Lineage: Bacteria
Description: partial 16S ribosomal RNA
Rfam family: Bacterial small subunit ribosomal RNA
Source: RNAcentral